Molecule: ribosomal RNA, 793 nt
Filed under: uncultured bacterium
Lineage: Bacteria
Description: bacterial SSU rRNA
Rfam family: Bacterial small subunit ribosomal RNA
Source: RNAcentral
AGAGUUUGAUCAUGGCUCAGGAUGAACGCUAGCGGCAGGCUUAAUACAUGCAAGUCGUGGGGCAGCACAGGUAGCAAUACUGGGUGGCGACCGGCAAACGGGUGCGGAACACGUACGCAACCUUCCUUUAAGCGGGGAAUAGCCCAGGGAAACUUGGAUUAAUACCCCAUAAGAUUAUGGUGUGGCAUCACACAGUAAUUAAAGCUCCGGCACUUAAAGAUGGGCGUGCGGCUGAUUAGGUAGUUGGCGGGGUAACGGCCCACCAAGCCUACGAUCAGUAACUGGUGUGAGAGCACGACCAGUCACACGGGCACUGAGACACGGGCCCGACUCCUACGGGAGGCAGCAGUAAGGAAUAUUGGUCAAUGGACGCAAGUCUGAACCAGCCAUGCCGCGUGGAGGAUGAAGGCCCUCUGGGUUGUAAACUUCUUUUAUCUGGGAAGAAACCACUCUUUUCUAAGGGUGUUGACGGUACCAGUUGAAUAAGCACCGGCUAACUCCGUGCCAGCAGCCGCGGUAAUACGGAGGGUGCAAGCGUUAUCCGGAUUCACUGGGUUUAAAGGGUGCGUAGGUGGGCAGGUAAGUCAGUGGUGAAAUCUCCGGGCUUAACCCGGAAACUGCCGUUGAUACUAUCUGUCUUGAAUAUAGUGGAGGUGAGCGGAAUAUGUCAUGUAGCGGUGAAAUGCUUAGAUAUGACAUAGAACACCCAUUGCGAAGGCAGCUCGCUACACUAUCAUUGACACUGAGGCACGAAAGCGUGGGGAUCAAACAGGAUUAGAUACCCUAGUAGUCC